RNAcentral lists this long non-coding RNA (921 nucleotides) under Coffea arabica (coffee). Its description in RNAcentral is "long non-coding RNA (CARA_LNC004449)". The record is from RNAcentral. Lineage: Eukaryota; Viridiplantae; Streptophyta; Magnoliopsida; Gentianales; Rubiaceae.
ACCAAAGGAUAGAUAUUUUCCAGAUGUCUGGACUUUGGUUGGGAAAUUAAAAGGAUACAAUUUUCAAGGCAGGCAAAGAUCUCAUCUUGCUCAACCCACUGUUGGCUGCAUAUGUCUCUAUAACUUAGCACAUCUUUCUUGACUAUCUUAUUCCAUCACAGGUCCGUACUCUUCUCGACUUUUAUAAUAUACAACAUCAACUCCUCUUGAUGGUGCAUCUGCAGACCAUAUAUUUAGGUGUGAUAAUAUCCUAUUUAUCUUCUCAGACUAGUAUUCCCAUCUCACAAGGGUAAUUUUUUUCAACUUACCUUGCCUGAUACUACCAUCUAACAGGUUUAACACUCUGGUUUUCUAUGUGCUUAACUUGUGCAUUGAAAUGUCUUUGAGAUGAUUCCGACGAGGUUUAUCGCAAUCCUCAUUUUGCAUCGUUAACUGCCUGGAAUUAACUUCAUAACCAAACAAGAAAAAAGAAAAGAAAGACGAGAAUGCAUAGCUUAAAGUGGAAGCAAAACUAACCCCAUCAAAAAAUCCAAUUUUUGGGGACGGCAUUCUCAGGCCUGAUGGUCUUGCAGAAUGAGAAAGAGUGCCAGCUUGUGAGGAGGAUUUCCUUGGACCUCCAUUUUGUAUCACAAUUUCCUCAUUCCCAUGUUGUUCUAUGAUCUGAUUAUUUGAAUCAUUAUGCAAAGGAAUGGUGUCAUUGUCCAAAGAUCUGCAAGAAUUAGCAUCAAAGCUAGUCCUUGAUGUAUUGGACCUCUGAUUGAUUGUACUUGAAGAAGAUGAAGAAGCUGAGGACCAUUCACUGAUAGAACUAGCAGGUGAUAUGCUUGGAGAGAUCUUGGAAGACAUCAGAUAUGCUGAGACAGCAGAAUUUCCACAGGUUCUCUUAGCAGUUUUUAAUGGGGUUUUGAGCACCGAACCAGA